RNAcentral lists this ribosomal RNA (860 nucleotides) under uncultured marine bacterium. Its description in RNAcentral is "bacterial SSU rRNA". It matches the Rfam family "Bacterial small subunit ribosomal RNA", at positions 8 to 916 of the family's 1533-position model. The record is from RNAcentral.
AGAGUUUGAUCCUGGCUCAGAACGUACGCUGGCGGCACGCCUAACACAUGCAAGUCGAACGAAGUAGCAAUACUUAGUGGCAGACGGGUGAGUAACGUGUAGGUAUCUGCCCUUUGGCCUGGAAUAACACGAGGAAACUUGUGCUAAUACCGGAUAAGUCUUUACGGAGAAAGCUUUAUGCACCAUUGGAUGAGCCUGCACUUGAUUAGUUUGUUGGUGGGGUAAUGGCCUACCAAGACUGUGAUCAAUAGCUGAUUUGAGAGGAUGAUCAGCCACAUUGGGACUGAGACACGGCCCAAACUCCUACGGGAGGCAGCAGUGGGGAAUCUUGCACAAUGGAGGAAACUCUGAUGCAGCGAUGCCGCGUGAGUGAAGAAGGCCCUUGGGUUGUAAAGCUCUUUCGUCGGGGAAGAAAAUGACUGUACCCGAAUAAGAAGGUCCGGCUAACUUCGUGCCAGCAGCCGCGGUAAUACGAAGGGACCUAGCGUAGUUCGGAAUUACUGGGCUUAAAGAGUUCGUAGGUGGUUGAAAAAGUUGGUGGUGAAAUCCCAGAGCUUAACUCUGGAACUGCCAUCAAAACUUUUCAGCUAGAGUAUGAUAGAGGAAAGCAGAAUUUCUAGUGUAGAGGUGAAAUUCGUAGAUAUUAGAAAGAAUACCAAUUGCGAAGGCAGCUUUCUGGAUCAUUACUGACACUGAGGAACGAAAGCAUGGGUAGCGAAGAGGAUUAGAUACCCUCGUAGUCCAUGCCGUAAACGAUGUGUGUUAGACGUUGGAAAUUUAUUUUCAGUGUCGCAGCGAAAGCGAUAAACACACCGCCUGGGGAGUACGACCGCAAGGUUAAAACUUAAAGGAAUUGACGG